RNAcentral lists this ribosomal RNA (497 nucleotides) under uncultured bacterium. Its description in RNAcentral is "partial 16S ribosomal RNA". It matches the Rfam family "Bacterial small subunit ribosomal RNA", at positions 28 to 507 of the family's 1533-position model. The record is from RNAcentral.
GAUGAACGCUGGCGGCGUGCCUAAUACAUGCAAGUCGAGCGAACAGACGAGGAGCUUGCUCCUCUGACGUUAGCGGCGGACGGGUGAGUAACACGUGGAUAACCUACCUAUAAGACUGGGAUAACUUCGGGAAACCGGAGCUAAUACCGGAUAAUCUAUUGAACCGCAUGGUUCAAUAGUGAAAGACGGUUUUGCUGUCACUUAUAGAUGGAUCCGCGCCGCAUUAGCUAGUUGGUAAGGUAACGGCUUACCAAGGCAACGAUGCGUAGCCGACCUGAGAGGGUGAUCGGCCACACUGGAACUGAGACACGGUCCAGACGCCUACGGGAGGCAGCAGUAGGGAAUCUUCCGCAAUGGGCGAAAGCCUGACGGAGCAACGCCGCGUGAGUGAUGAAGGUCUUCGGAUCGUAAAACUCUGUUAUUAGGGAAGAACAAAUGUGUAAGUAACUAUGCACGUCUUGACGGUACCUAAUCAGAAAGCCACGGCUAACUACGUG